UUUUCCCUUAGCAAGUGGAAGGUGUGCAGGCAGAGAUGAGAUCGGUGUGUGCUCAGUUCUUUUAUUUCAGACUUUUUUUAGCAUAAGUCAAGCAGCUUUGAAUAAUUCUCCUUUGACUCAUUAACUGUCAAAAGCAAAUGUAGAUGGGAGGCAUAAAACUGUUUCUUUCAGAAAAGAAGAAUAUAGCUGCAAUAUAGUCUUUCUCCAUAUGGAAGCAUCCUUAAGAAGAAUCCAGGCUUAUACAUAAGCAGGCGCUGACACAUUACAUGAUGUAUUUAUAAUAAGACAGGGAAAUAUAUAGAGAACAUUUCAGUUGCCUAAACAUGAAGUGCCAUUUGAGAUAUGGUUGACUCAUCUCAUCUCCUGGUACCUCACCAGGUCUCCAGCUUGUGACCCAGGGGAGUUUUGUCAUAUCUUGUGUAAACGUACCACCUGUCCUAGGAUAUCUCAAACAGCACAAGAUACUUACGCUUAGACUCAUCUACAUGAGGUAAGCCCAGGUAGGUGAAAAUAGCAUAAAGUUUGUUCCUAGCUGGUUGAAAUACAACCUCUAGAGACACAUUAGGCCUGAAGGUUGCAUUAAAAGUCCUUGUGCACAAAGUGCUAGUUUUAGAAUCCUAAUCUGUAAUUUUUUAUAAAAUGUGAAUGAUGGAAUAAAAGUUAUGCUUAUUACAUUUUCAGACUAUGCCUCAUGGAAGAUACUGUGAGCAUUUUGGAGUGGAUGGUGGUAAAUGAGUGCUUAAAAUGGAGAAGGCAAGCUUUCUCCCUGACUUCUGCAUGUGCUGCUGCGGUUUGGGAAGGAGAUGGCAACCAACAGAGAUCUUGCUCUGACUCAGCAUCCUCAUAGGGCUCUUCUUGAGAAGGAGAAAAGGAUGCAGGAAAUGGAACAGUUUACUGAAGCCGCGUCCUCAUUGACACUGACGACUGGUGGUUUGUAUUCUGUUUUGCUGGAUCAUUGUAUGCAUUUGUCUAAACUCUCACCCAGAGAAAUAUAUAUGUAAGUUAUUAAGUAUUAACAAUAAUGCAGUAGAUUUUCUGGCUUCACUUCAUGCACAUUAACCAACACUUCCAAAAAGAUUCUGUCUUUCGUUUCUUUUAAACAAUUUUUAUAGAUGUUUAGCAUACAGAAAAUAUAAAGGUUGAGAGAUGUAUUUUCUUUUUCUCUCAUUAAUUCUGCUAGACGCAUAAAGACUGUAGAGUCAUUAACAUAUUGAUUUAGAGUAAAUAUAAAUUAACCUCAUAAUUUCUUUGGUGAAAUGUAUAGCAAAGCUUGGGGAAUAAAAGCUCGAUAAUACUGCUAGAAAAAUGUCCU
RNAcentral lists this long non-coding RNA (1312 nucleotides) under Calidris pugnax (ruff). RNAcentral describes it as "lncRNA (ENSCPUG00000003175.1)". Lineage: Eukaryota; Metazoa; Chordata; Aves; Charadriiformes; Scolopacidae. The record is from RNAcentral.